AUUAGAACGCUGGCGGCGUGCUUAACACAUGCAAGUCGAUCGGUAACAGGUGUAGCAAUACAUGCUGACGAGAGGCGGACGGGUGAGUAAUGCUUGGGAAUCUGCCUAUUAGGUGGGGGACAACCCGGGGAAACUCGGGCUAAUACCGCAUACGCUCUACGGAGGAAAGCCGGGGACCGCAAGGCCUGGCGCUAAUAGAUGAGCCCAAGUCGGAUUAGCUAGUUGGUAGGUAACGGCCUACCAAGGCGACAAUCCGUAGCUGGUCUGAGAGGACGACCAGCCACACCGGAACUGAGACACGGUCCGGACUCCUACGGGAGGCAGCAGUGGGGAAUAUUGGACAAUGGGGGCAACCCUGA
This 359-nucleotide ribosomal RNA is filed under the name uncultured bacterium. RNAcentral describes it as "bacterial SSU rRNA". It matches the Rfam family "Bacterial small subunit ribosomal RNA", at positions 31 to 386 of the family's 1533-position model. The record is from RNAcentral.